UGUUAUACUAAUUUUAACUAGGCUUUUAAGUUGUAGCCCGGUUUAACCAUAAUCCUUUUCAUCUCUUAGAAACUGUAGGCCUACCGAUUCUCUUUCACCUUCUCCGGCGAUGUAACGAUGUAGUUAUGACCUUCAAUCACGUUAUCCCACUAAACUCACAACCACCCCCUCUUCAUUGCUUCUUUAAUUACACAUUUUAAAGCUUAAUUUUGUGUAUAUCUACACCUUCUGAGAGCCCCCUGCAAUUCCCUUACUUUCAUAAAACCUAAAAAUAUAUCGCUCAUGUUCUCUUUUAAUGGACGAUAGUUGGCAAUUUCUCAGUUUUAUUUCUCUGAUUUGAGUCAGGCGGCUAUAAACAGUCAGUUCAGGCAAGAUUCGUAUGUGUUUCUCGGAAGCCAAUAAAGUAAUGAAAAGAGGAUAGACAAAUCCAGGAAUCAAUUAAUGUGCAACUAUUCAACACCUUAAAAAAAAUGAAGUAUCUAGCUUAAUGUUUUGUAUUUCAUAUGAAGGAGAAACCCUUACUUCCGGUUUGGAGAAA
This is a long non-coding RNA of Brassica oleracea var. oleracea, 538 nucleotides long. RefSeq lists it as uncharacterized. NCBI's taxonomy places the organism in Eukaryota, Viridiplantae, Streptophyta, Magnoliopsida, Brassicales, Brassicaceae. The record is from RefSeq and is a predicted model, not a curated record. The transcript is spliced from 2 exons.